UACAGAGGCCAAGAGCGUUGUUCGGAUUUACUGGGCGUAAAGGGCGCGUAGGCGGCAUGGCGUGUCGGAUGUGAAAUCUCCGGGCUCAACCCGGAAAGUGCGUCCGAAACUACCGUGCUGGAGUAUGGGAGGGGGAAUCGGAAUACAGGGUGUAGCGGUGAAAUGCGUUGAUAUCCUGUAGAACACCGGAGGCGAAGGCGGAUUCCUUGAACGGUACUGACGCUGAGGCGCGAAAGUCGGAGGAGCAAGC
This 250-nucleotide ribosomal RNA is filed under the name uncultured prokaryote. RNAcentral's name for it is "partial 16S ribosomal RNA". It matches the Rfam family "Bacterial small subunit ribosomal RNA", at positions 524 to 773 of the family's 1533-position model. The record is from RNAcentral.